Molecule: non-coding RNA, 715 nt
Organism: Danio rerio (zebrafish)
Lineage: Eukaryota; Metazoa; Chordata; Actinopteri; Cypriniformes; Danionidae
Source: Ensembl
UGAUUUUUGCCUAUUCAGUGCCUUAUGCAUGUAUUUUUAAGUUGCGUCUGAAAGUUCAGAUCAGUUUUUACCUUUUUGUACAUUCACUAUCAAAUAUUCAUCAACUUUUUAUUUUUAUAAAUGAUGUUCCAUUUUAAAGCUACUAAGACAAAGACAUCUGAACUACACUAUUCAGCUAGGGUCAUCUACAAUUAAUUCAGUCAAAAGUCUUGAUGGUCAGCUGUCCUUUAUUGGUCACAUAACCUGCAUGAUUGUGCAAGCUUUGUUUUCUUUCAAUAAAAUUAGAAGGAUCAGACAUUUUGUAAUAGAGCAGGUUGCUUAAAGGUCUUGUCCAAGCACUUGUGAUUUAUAUAUUAGGCUACUGCAAUGUUCUUCAGGCCGAACUUCACUAUCAUCGGCAGUGAAACCUCUUCAGAUGAUCUUCAAUGCUGCAGCUCAUCUGGUCUAAGCUCUAUUUAUCCCAAUAGAGUCCUCUUCACACAUCAAUAUCACAGGAGAAUUGAGCUGGUUUUCUUUCUUCUUGCUCCGCUGACGCAUGCCUUAAGAGGUGUCAGCGGAGCAAAAUCAGCUCCUCCUUUACCAAAAUCCAACAUCAAACCUGCAGUCCGGAGCUCUUCCCCAUCUACAGCCAGUGUUUCAGAGGAACCAGAUGAUCAAUCCAGCAAAGGUGUCAACGGGCUACUCCAGCAUGAACCAGUCAUGGUAAGGCAUCUGU